Gymnogyps californianus (California condor) is the source of this 1065-nucleotide long non-coding RNA. RefSeq lists it as uncharacterized. NCBI's taxonomy places the organism in Eukaryota, Metazoa, Chordata, Aves, Accipitriformes, Cathartidae. The transcript has 5 exons. The record is from RefSeq and is a predicted model, not a curated record.
CUGCAUCUCUUGCACAAAUGAGCUCCUUGGAUUCAGGGCAGUUGAGUCUUCUGACCUAGUUGUGGGUAGUACUGAUAUGAAGCUAGGUUGAUCAACAAACAGCUCGUGACAGGACCAGAAGGAUAUGAUACAAACUACUAUGAUACAUACAAGAUACAUCCUAUGGAGGAAAUACAAUGGAAAACCAAAGACAGUCAGCAGCCUGUCUCCUGUGCCUUGUUCUGAGCUGUGAGGGUGCAGCAUACUCAACCCAUGCAAAAACACCCAGCUGUGAGCGCAGUAAAUCUGGCCCAGCUGUUCCCUGACAGUGCGGCGACUGGACUGCAGAACAGGCGAGCUCUGCUCCCUGCAGGAUAUACGUGACUGAAGCUGGCUGAAAUUUAUUGCUUGUCUCUAAGUGUCAGAGUUGGCUUCUGCUGCCUUUGGAUGUGGAGAUACAGGAUGCUGACAGCUGGGAGGAAAAAUGAAAUUCAGAGCCAGAUGUGAUAAUGAACUCCUUUGCACCCUUCUCUGCUCUGCCAGUCUCCUGCUCAGGUAUUGCACUGGACCAGGACGAUGAACUUCCACUGCUUCAGGAGCUGCAUUAAAAAGGAGGCAGAGGAGAAGAGAAGAGCUGCUCUUGGUCCACAGAGGAAAGGCACUGACCUAAAUACGACUCCAUCAGUGCAUUGCUCUCGGCAUUGCUUGGUUUGCAUUUUUCCAUCGCCUCAUGCAAAGGCUGCAGUGCUGCCUUGUGCCAGGCUGCACCGGGGCAGCGGCCGGCCAGCCCGGGGCAGCUGCCCCCGAUGCCCUGCACCACCUUCCUCUGCUUUCUUUGCAUCUCCCCUUGAAGCCCCAGGACCAGCCCAGCCCCUAUGUAAUCUGAAAAGUUAUGAGUGCACAGCCCUGCUGAGUUGCUGUUCUUUUCUUCUUUUCCUUAACACCCUGUGAAGUGUCUAAUGAAAUAGGACUGAUAAAGUGACUCAACUAACGAUCCCCAAACAGUUCAGCUAAGUGUCAUUCCUUUGAAGAUCUUCACACUUUUUUUUUCCCCCUUCUUAGCUGCUGUUUCAAAUGUCUUAAAUG